CCAGAGGCAUAAUUUUUUCAAAUAAUUUUUAGUAACAGAAUAAAUUCUAACUUUUUAAAGUCUAAAGCUACAUAAAGCUCAAAGCAAUCUAUUUUUUUACCUGAGGUCAAAAUGACUUUCCUUUUUCCUAACUAAACAUAAUUCUUAGCAUUGAGGUAAAUCUGAAUUCAUGUGGUAUACUUUGUCAAACUUUUCCAAAAAAUUUUAAGCCCUGCUUUAGAGAGAAAUUCUCAUGUUACACAUAUAUAUUUACAUAUUUUUUCUUCAAAGACUAAUGACAAUGUAUGAGGUUAAUAGGCCUGUAAUGAAACCAUGAUACUACUAAUAAUAUGAAAUAAAAAGCCACUCAUUUAUACAAAGUGUUCCUGAAUGGUGCAAUAAGAAAUGGGAUCACAGAUUUAUGUACAUAUAUAAAUCACUAAGAGUUCAGAAAUUAAGCUCACUUUAAGAAAACUCGGCCGGGCACGGUGGCUCACGCCUGUAAUCCCAGUACUUUGGGAGGCCAAGGUGGGAGAAUCGCUUGAACCAGGGAGGCGGAGGUUGCAGUGAGCCCAGAUCGCGCCAUUGCACUCUAGCCUGGACAACAGAGCGAGACUCUGACUCCAAAAAAAAAAAAAAAAAAAAAGAAAGAAAGAAAGAAAACUCAUUCUACUUUUCUCUUUGGAGCAGAGGUUGCAAAACUGUGAUGCCUAUCAAAAACGUUGUGUAUAAAAGCUCCAAAACCAAGCAUUAGCCUAAAUUGGCUAUAACUGCAAUUUAAAUCAAAAACUAUAUCCAACUAGAUCUUCGCUGUGGCUAUGCAACUUUUUGCUUUGUGGCCUGAAGGUUUUUACUGAGGUAACAACCUCUUAUCUCUUGUCC
This 861-nucleotide non-coding RNA is filed under the name Pongo abelii (Sumatran orangutan). The record is from RNAcentral. Lineage: Eukaryota; Metazoa; Chordata; Mammalia; Primates; Hominidae.